Molecule: long non-coding RNA, 3575 nt
Organism: Syngnathoides biaculeatus (alligator pipefish)
Lineage: Eukaryota; Metazoa; Chordata; Actinopteri; Syngnathiformes; Syngnathidae
Exons: 4
Source: RefSeq, a predicted model, not a curated record
CACGACCACCGGAAGAUACUCAGGGAGAAGGAGAAUAAGUGGAAGACGCUAACUGUUAGCUCAUCAGAUGAUGGUUGCUAAUUGUCAUUUUUCUUGUGGUCGGUAUUAAUCGGCGCUAAUAACGCAACAAGCGAGCGAGUUUGCCUUCUACACGUCCCCCAAGUUUAAAAGGAAGAAGAUGAAACGUUGCGGGAAAAUUCAAGGAGGGGAAACAUUUGUGCGUUUCUUGGCAGCUUUUGGAAGUGACGAAACAUCUCGCCCCCGUCGGCUGCACCCCACCUUGGUCCCGUCGUAGCUUUCAUCUGUUACUAAUACGGCGGGCGGCCUUCCAUCAGACGUCCCGACGUGUCCCGGCACAACACAAAGGGCAGGCAAGGCCGGGAUCGAACCCAGAACCUCAGAACUGUUGAGUCCAACGCUUUACCAGCUGCCCCACCGUGCCGAGAAUGAAUAUAUCGCAAGAAAAUGACACGCACGCACACUUCAGCUCGGUUUCCUGCUCCGGUGUCUUUGUCGUAUCCUUCAGUGGCACAUGUAAGAAUGCGAGUGAUCUCUGCGGCAUAUCUGGAAGUGAUUGAAACAAGAUGGAGGGGGAAGCGCUAGCUAGCUUGGAAGCUAAUUGGAUUGGUGGAGGCUCGGCGCGGUAAUGCGCCGCAGCCGUCGCGGGGGAUGGCCGCGAGAAAAAAAAAAAAAAAAACAACACCAAGUGUGUGACACAUGCGUGCAAAAUCUUCACAUCACGAAUAAUGUGUGUGUGUGUGUGUGUGUGUUUUGCUGGGCAGGAAAUGAAAUAUAUCAAAGCAGGAAGAUGGAAAAACACAACAUUUCAAAAUAGCGUCUUAAAUAAAGCUAGCGGAUUUCCCCAAAUAGUAGUCCCUCCCUCAAAUGUAACAUACUGUAUUACUCCCUUAGUGUAUCCAGAGUUAGGCAAUAUGUGGUCUGGGAUCAUAAUUUUGGUCAAACAAUAUUGAUUACCGAUGUACCAUGAUACUUUCUGUAAUGCUGAAAAAUGUCACAAGAGUAUUGAAUAUCAUUUAUCACUAUCACAAAACUGUUGAUAUUGUUGAAACAGCUAUAAGCAUCAUCAGCAUAUUUUCACAAUAUGGUAUUUUUUUUUUCUCGAUAUUGAAACUUUUUCUUUCAAUAUAUCAAUUGUCACGAUACUAUCAGUAUCAGAAAAACAUUAAAAAUUGCAGUAAUAUGGUAAGUUUUUCCUCUGGUUUCUUGAUUGAUGCGUGAUCGCUGUUCCAUGAUACUGUUGAUAUUAUCGGAAAAGCUGUAUCACGAUACUGUCGACAUUAUUGAAACAGAUAUUAUAUUAUCAUCAUAUUUUCACAGUGAUGUGUUUUUUUCUGAUAUUGAAACUUUUUCUUUCAAUAUAUCAAUUAUCACUGUAUGACAAUGCUAACAGUGUUGGAAAACCAUUAGAAAUUGCAAUGAUAUGGUAGCAAGUUUUUCCUCUAACCUGUUGAUUGAUGCGCGAUUGCUGUAUGGUGAUAAUGUCGAUAUUAUCAGGAAAAACUGUAUCACGAUACUGUCUAUUGAUGAAACAAUUACACUCACCUUAACACUGCCAGCAUAUUUUCACUAAGUGAUAUUGUGUUGUUUUUCCAAUAUUGAAACUUUUUCUUUCAAUGUAUCAAUUAUCACUAUCACGAUACUAUCAGUGUUGGAAAACCAUUACAAAUUGCAAUGAUACGGUAGCAAGUUUUUCCUCUAAUCUCUCGAUUGCUGUGUCGUGAUACUGUUGAUGUCAAAAAUGCUGUAUCAUGAUACUGUUGAUAUCGUAAAAUUGUUGCUCCAAUAUUGUAUUACAGUUUUCCAAAAUAUCAACAAUUGCACAACGGCUGCAUUUAGACAGUUUUGGUAUCAGAGGGGGAAAUUUUUUUUCACGUUGUAUCAUCUUUUUCUUCCGAUAUAGUGAUUAUCGCUAUUGCAAUAUGCUAGUGCUAUAUCGCGAUACGAUCUGUAUCAUAGGGGGGGGGGGGGGGCACUUCACUGUAUUAUUUAUUACUAUUGAAGCAUUUUCACAAGGGUUGAAAAUGUUCCAGCCGGCCCAAAUCCGACACGGUAAUGUUUAAAUUUGCCAGCAGAAGGUCCGUUGAUGGUGUUUUAAUUGGGGCCGUGGAAGAAAAGGUUAGUCCGAGGUCAAACGUGACAGCGGCCCCCCCGAAGCCCGACACUUCACAGGCUUUCCAAACAAGUCGGCGAGUGCGGGAAGCGCCUGUCGGAGCCGUCGCCCGACACUCGCCUCACGCUCUCGGAGCGGCCAUUUGCGAGGACGCCCACGAACCGCGCGACCUCACCCGCCGUCUUUCGGGUGUCGCGUAAAAGCGGCUUUUUCUCCUCUCAUUUUGUCAUCCUUUGGCACAUUCCAACGAUCCGCGACGGGAUUCUGCGAGGCACAUGAAGCAAAGUUUCAACCCUCCGUGCGUUCGUGUUGGUGUGCGCGUGUACUUCCAAGCUUCUAAUCGGAGCCGCAAACACGUACAUACGAAACACAUUAAUUUGUGGCAGGGAAUGACGACAAGAUACAAAACUUUCCCAUCGGAAAAAAAAAAUGGAAAGGCAGUCCAUCUGUUUCUGUUUGAAAGGCUCACACGCAAGUGUAAAAAGAAGUUCACCGCCACACAUUUCCAAAAGAUGCGCAUUGGCUUCAUUGAAGACUCAAGUCUAAAUCUUCCAUCGUUGUGAAGAUCAAUGGUUUUGAUUUGUUUUUAUUUUUGUCAUGUAUUUUUUCUCUUUUGUUCUUUUUGUAUUUAGCCUUGUUUUAGAACUUUUUAAGAUGUGUAAUAUUUUAGUAUUUGGCAGAUAGUGUGUUGCAGUAUUUAUUUAUUUUCUUUAUUUUUGAAAUAUUUUUUUAUUUUUUGUUGUGCUGUACUUUUCCAGUUUUCAAUUAGAUUUUGUAUAUUUUAAAAUAUAUUUGUAGACUUUUUUAAUUUUAGAAUAUCUUUGUCUUUUUAGUGUAUUUUCGUUAAAUGUUUAUAUUUUUUCUUGUUUUAUUUUGCACGUCUUUAUAAUAUUUUCUAAUAUUAUUGUUUUUUAAGGAAUCUAAUAUAUUAUUUUCUGAUAUUGUUGCAUUUUUAGUCAUAUUUUGUAACUUUCAAAUAUUUUUUCUUUUUUUUUAACUUAUGGGGUGUUUUUCUCAAAAUAUUUUUACACUGUAUUACAAUAUUUUUUAUUUUUUCCAAUUUUUAAUUAGAUUUUUUAUUUUGUGGUAUCUUAAAUAUUUUUGUAGAAUGUUUUUCAAUUUUAGAAUAUCUUUGUCUUGUUUGCAUAUUUUUGAUAUUUCUGCAUUUUUCUCCAAAAUUUGUUUUAUGCAAAAAAGUGUGUAAUUUUGCAGUUCAUUUUCAAGGAAUCUAAUAUUUUCCAUUAUUUUCUGAUAUUGUUGCAUUUUUUUAACUUUCAAAUGUUUUUUUUUUAAUUUUUAUUUUUUUACUUUUUGGGUGUUUUUCCCAUUUUUGGAUUGUAUUCCAACAGCUCCAUUUUAUAUUAUUGACAGGUAUUGUUCUUUUUAAAAAUAUUUUGUUUAUAUAUUUUUUUCAAUUUAGAGCUUUUUCAAUAUUGUGUAUUUU